This 398-nucleotide long non-coding RNA is filed under the name Ananas comosus (pineapple). RNAcentral describes it as "long non-coding RNA (ACOM_LNC018885)". The record is from RNAcentral. Lineage: Eukaryota; Viridiplantae; Streptophyta; Magnoliopsida; Poales; Bromeliaceae.
UUAAAACGUAUCAAUUUCCCCCCCGUGGUUUCGUUUUUCUCUUUUUGUUAUCAAUUUUAUUAUUAUUUUUUUCUUAAAUCAGUGACAAAGUUAAAAUUAAAGGAUACUAAAGUGAAUAUUCGAUAAAUAUAGAUGGUUAUCUGAAGUUUUUUGUAUAUAAUUUAACAAAAUAUUAACGAAAAAGCUUCCGAAAAGAUAAAAAUGAAACCACAGGGAGGCAAAUUGAUACGUUUUAAACCACAGGGUGCUAAAGUGAGAAUGCACGAAACCACAGGGGGGUUUUUGAAGUUUUCCCUUUUUUUUAUAUGUAAUUUUUCUUUAAACACAUCAAAAUUAAAAAAUAAAAUAAAUUUAUGUCAACAAAAAAAAAUUUUAUUGCUAGAAAAAACAUUGCCAUA